AUGCCGCCGCCAAGCGCUCGCGGCCCUGUCAUCCUCGACACCUCGCCACAUACUCCUCGCGCUGCCACCCUCUCGUCACUGCCACCUCGCGCCACCACCACCCUCUUGCAGCACAGGUCAACCGCGGAGGACGCUAACGCCGGUGCUGGCGGUGAGCAGCAGCAGCCAGCGCCCAAGGAGGAGGAGCCCAAGCAGAAGCAGACGCCGCAUCGGCAAGCGUCAGCCAAGGCGGCCCACAGCAGCGCCGACUCCGAGCAGGAGCCAGCGGCCAAGGCGGAGCCUAGGCAGCCGACGCCGCAGAGGCAGCAGCCACCGCGCCAGGCGUCGAUGAAGGAGAAAGGCAAGGCGCCGAUGGUGCAGGAGCUCCCCGCGGUGGCGCCGCACGUCGCGGCCAAGGUGGCGGCGGCCGCGGCCGACGCGGUGGAGACCCUGGCCCGGCCGCCGGUGCCGCUCGUCGCGACCCAGCUCACCCGCAAGGAGAAGGAGGAGGACUGGUUCGCCAUGACCGGCACCAGGCUGCCCUACCGCCCCCAGCAGCGCCGCCCCAAGGCCGUCGAGGACAAGCUCCAGAAAAUGUCCCCGGGGCAGACGCUGCCUGAGGUGACCAGGGCCAGGUACAUGGUGCGCGUGAAGAAGCAAAAGAAGCGCCCCGGCCUGCGAGCAAUGGCGGAGGAGGACGCCCUGAGCUCCAAGAGGCACGACUCAGACGAUGACGCGGCGGGAGAAAAAAACCAUUUCGGUGUCGCCGAUGUAGAGGAGUGUGGUAGCCGGAGGAAGAGGGGUUGA
RNAcentral lists this ribosomal RNA (786 nucleotides) under Triticum aestivum (bread wheat). Its description in RNAcentral is "partial small subunit ribosomal RNA". Lineage: Eukaryota; Viridiplantae; Streptophyta; Magnoliopsida; Poales; Poaceae. The record is from RNAcentral.